Molecule: ribosomal RNA, 459 nt
Filed under: Nosema bombycis
Lineage: Eukaryota; Fungi; Microsporidia; Nosematidae
Description: SSU rRNA
Rfam family: Microsporidia small subunit ribosomal RNA
Source: RNAcentral
GCGGCUUAAUUUGACUCAACGCGGGGUAAUUUACCAGAUAUAACAUGGUAUAAUAUUUUAUCAUGAUAGUGGUGCAUGGCCGUUUCCAAUGGAUGCUGUGAAGUAAUGAUUAAUUUCAACAAGAUGUGAGACCCUCAUUAAGACAGAUGUAGUGAUACAUAUGAAGGAGAGGAUUAAAACAGGUCCGUUAUGCCCUAAGAUAAUCUGGGUUGCACGCGCAAUACAAUAAUAUUUGAGAUUAUAAGGGAUAAUAUAAUGUAAGAUAUAUUUGAACAUGGAAUUGCUAGUAAAUUUUAUUUAAUAAGUAGAAUUGAAUGAGUCCCUGUUCUUUGUACACACCGCCCGUCGCUAUCUAAGAUGGUAUUAUCUAUGAACAAAUUUAUAAAGUGAAUAGAUAGUACUAGAUCUGAUAUAAGUCGUAACAUGGUUGCUGUUGGAGAACCAUUAGCAGGAUCAUAA